AAUAUAGUAUAAUGGAGGAUACUCUGAUUCACCGACGCCGCGUGAGUGAAGAAGGUCUCCGGAUCGUAGAACUCUGUCCUUGGGCAAGAUAAACACGGUAGGUAAGCAGUAAGCCUCGGCUAAUUAAGUGCUAGCAGCCGCGGUAAUCCGUAGGAGGCUAGCGUUGUCCGGAUUUACUGGGCGUAGAGGGUGAGUAGGCGGUUGAAUAAGUCAGAUGUAAAAGGAUAAGGCUUAACCAUAGUAUGCAUUUGAAACUGUGUGACUUGAGUACAAGAGAGGUAAGCGGAAUUCCUAGUGUAGGGGUGAAAUGCGUAGAUAUUAGGAGGAACACCAGUGGCGAAGGCGGCUUACUGGACUGUAACUGACGCUGAGUCACGAAAGCGUGGGUAGCAAACA
This 396-nucleotide ribosomal RNA is filed under the name uncultured bacterium. Its description in RNAcentral is "partial 16S ribosomal RNA". It matches the Rfam family "Bacterial small subunit ribosomal RNA", at positions 360 to 774 of the family's 1533-position model. The record is from RNAcentral.